Long non-coding RNA from Mustela erminea (ermine), 666 nucleotides. RefSeq lists it as uncharacterized. NCBI's taxonomy places the organism in Eukaryota, Metazoa, Chordata, Mammalia, Carnivora, Mustelidae. The record is from RefSeq and is a predicted model, not a curated record. The transcript is spliced from 6 exons.
CAGUUCCACAUGAAAACAACAACAACAACAACAAAAACCACUGCCAUUACAAUGAAUGUUCUCCUGAGUUACUCUGAUAUGCAUUAGAUAUUAAUAUGCACAUUUGAAUGAGGAGUCGGGUUUCAAGUUACAAUAAAAACCACUUGUAAAGAAUUUUCUCCUGAAUUCAAAUCUUUAAAACAGCCACAACAGAUUAAAUUAUUUUUUUAAGGAAGCAUGUUCUAUCAUACUUGUGGCUCUACUCCUGCAUUGCCAGCGCUGCCAGGUUGCUUGAGAGGUAACAGACUGACCGUGGGAGGAAUAAGGACAUUUUGGUACUGCUGUGCCUCUGGAACGAACCUGAUGAGAACCAGGACUUUCUGUGGAUGAACAGGAUGCAGCUUGCAAAGAGAAGUCUGUGGCGCUCCCUUUCAUAUCCCAUCCCUUCUGGCUCUGUCCGUGAGGAGAAAAAAAUCAGUGUUCACAUUUGAGCAAUUCCAAGUGGAAGUAUCCUAUUUGAGAGGACACAAUUUAUGAUUAAAAACCCUAUGAAUCCAAGUGUUAUUAAUCAUCGUUCCUCAUUUCCUUUCACUGCUGGGAUUUGACAAGGAUUUUAUUUCACCUUGAAAAACUGCACAUAGUGGAGAGUUUCUUCACUUUAUUCCUGCAGUCUUAACAUACCCUACU